RNAcentral lists this small RNA (128 nucleotides) under Pantoea sp. RNAcentral describes it as "RtT sRNA". It matches the Rfam family "RtT RNA". Rfam says of the family: This family represents a bacterial cis-regulatory element known as RtT RNA. Lineage: Bacteria; Pseudomonadati; Pseudomonadota; Gammaproteobacteria; Enterobacterales; Erwiniaceae. The record is from RNAcentral.
CUGAGAUGUCUGACGUGCAGGAUGAGAACCUGCGCAGGUUCGACUGAAUCGCCGGGAGCGAUUCAGGAGCGCAUCACCCGGAGGGCGAGGCUCCGGACGGGCCGAGGCAAAUCCUGCACGACCCACCA